UCUGACGGAGCACGCCGCGUGAGUGAUGAAGGUUUUCGGAUCGUAAAACUCUGUUGUUAGGGAAGAACAAGUUGGGUAGUAACUGACCCAACCUUGACGGUACCUAACCAGAAAGCCACGGCUAACUACGUGCCAGCAGCCGCGGUAAUACGUAGGUGGCAAGCGUUGUCCGGAAUUAUUGGGCGUAAAGCGCUCGCAGGCGGUCUUUUAAGUCUGAUGUGAAAGCCCACGGCUUAACCGUGGAGGGUCAUUGGAAACUGGAGGACUUGAGUACAGAAGAGGAGAGUGGAAUUCCACGUGUAGCGGUGAAAUGCGUAGAGAUGUGGAGGAACACCAGUGGCGAAGGCGACUCUCUGGUCUGUAACUGACGCUGAGGAGCGAAAGCGUGGGUAGCGAACAGGAUUAGAUACCCUGGUAGUCCACGCCGUACCCGAUGAGUGCUAGG
RNAcentral lists this ribosomal RNA (445 nucleotides) under uncultured bacterium. RNAcentral describes it as "bacterial SSU rRNA". It matches the Rfam family "Bacterial small subunit ribosomal RNA", at positions 382 to 820 of the family's 1533-position model. The record is from RNAcentral.